RNAcentral lists this ribosomal RNA (253 nucleotides) under uncultured bacterium. Its description in RNAcentral is "partial 16S ribosomal RNA". It matches the Rfam family "Bacterial small subunit ribosomal RNA", at positions 524 to 776 of the family's 1533-position model. The record is from RNAcentral.
UACGUAGGCAGCAAGCGUUGUUCGGAUUUACUGGGCGUAAAGGGUGCGUAGGCGGCUUCUUAAGUCUGGUGUGAAAUCUCCUGGCUCAACUGGGAGGGUGCGCCGGAUACUGAGGGGCUAGAGUGUGGGAGAGGAAAGUGGAAUUCCAGGUGUAGCGGUGAAAUGCGUAGAUAUCUGGAGGAACACCGGUGGUGUAAACGGCUUUCUGGACCAUUACUGACGCUGAUGCACGAAAGCGUGGGUAGCAAACAGG